GUCGCCUCGGCUGGCCACGCCCUCCCUGGGCGCGUCGGCGGUGAUGUCAUCGGUGAGGUCACCCGCCGGGGCGGCGGCUUCCUUCGUGGCGGGAGGGGGCGGCUCCUCCCCCCCGGCGCUGAUGUCACCGCUGAGGUCAUCCGCGGGGGCGGAAGUGACGUCACGCCGGGCGGUGUCCCCAGGGAGGCCGGGUCCCGCUGUGAUGUCACCUGUGAUGUYGCCCUCGGCGGUGACAUCGUGCCCAGCAAUGCUUCCGGGGGUGGCGGAAGUGAUGUCAUCCUUGGUGAUGACAUCAUCAAUGAAGUCAUCCCAAGAGGGGGCGUCGCCCCCCGAGACAUCUCCCGGAAGGAAGGCGAUGACAUCAUUCCCCUGGCUGAUGUCACCAGUGAGGUCGUCAGGUUUGGCGCCUCGUGCAGCAACGCCUCCCGGGAGGGAGGAAGUGACAUCAACCCCGGCGAUGACAUCACCAGCGAGGGCGGCCCCAGGAACAGAAGCGGCGACGGCUUCCUCCCCGAUGACGUCACCAGCGAGGUCACCUCCAGGGAUGAUGUCAACGGCAAGGUCAUCCCCGGGAAAGGAGGGAGUGAUGCGGUGCCCAGCGAUGACAUCAUCACUGGGGAUUCCCCCCGAGCGGGAGGAAGGGACGCCGUCCCUGGUGAUGAUGUCAUCGGUGAGGUCACUCCCAGGCGUGACGUCACCGGGAAGAGCGGAAGCAGUAUCAGUCCCGGGGAGGGAGGAAAUGACAUCACCCUUGGCGAUGACAUCACUGGCGAGCUCUUCCUCRGGGAGGAAAGCAGUGACGUCAUCGCUGGCAACGAGGUCAACAACGAAGUCAUCCCCGGCCAUCGGGGCAGUGACAUCAUCCUCGGCGAUGACAUCACCAGGGAGGGAGCAAACGAUGUCAUCGCCGCCAGCCGCGUCAGCAGCAGGGCCACCGCCAGGGUGCGCAGGAACGGUGUCACCCCCCGCGAUGACGUCACCAGCGGGGGUGUCCCCAGGGGGGGCRGCGAUGAUGUCACCGCCGGCGAUGAUGCCGCUGUCCCCAGCGAGGUCCUCGUCCUCGUCCUCGUCCUCCACGGGGGGGGCCGUCACCGUGAUGGUGAUGCCACUGGCGGCUGCGGUGUCACCCGUGUCCUCGUCCCCGACAUCCUUGUCCCCAACGUCCAUGUCCCCAACGUCGUCUCCAAUGUCCUCGUCCCCGAUGUCCUCGUCCCCGUCUUUGUCCCCAACAUCCUUGUCCUUGUCCCCAACGUCCAUGUCCCCWMUGUCCCCAACGUCCCUCAGYGCAGUGACGUCCCUGUCCCCAACGUCCCUCAGGACUGCGGCACCCUUGUCCCCGGUGGCCGGGACGUCCCCAAGGUCCCUCAGGGCUGUGACGUCUCUGGCCCCAAAGUCCUUGUGCCCAAGGUCCCUUAGGGCGGUGACAUCCCUGUCCCCAAUGCCCUUGUCCUCAAUGUCCCAUAGGGCGAUGGCAUCUCUGUCCCCAAUGUCCCAGUCUCCAGGAGCUGGGAUGUCCCCAAUGUCCCCUAGGGCCACCAGGUCCCCGGUGUCCUUGUCCCCAACAUCUCUCAGGGCAGUGAUCUCCCUGUCCCCAACACCCUUGUCCCCAAUGUCCCUUAGGGCCAUGACAUCCCUGUCCCCGAUAUCCCCAAGGUCCAGGACACCCUUGUCCCUGGUGUCCCUGUCCUCAGUGUCCCUUAGGGCUAGGACAUGCCUGUCCCCAAUGUCCCCAGGGGUUGGGACAUCCCUGUCCCUGGUGUCCCCAAGGUCUGGGACACCCCUGUCCCUCGUGUCCCUGUCCUCGAUGUCCCUUAGGGCCAGGACAUCCCUGUCCCCAAUGUCCUUGUCCCCAGCAGCCCUCAGGACAGUGACAUCCCCGUCCCCAAUGUCCGCAGGGAUUGGGGCAUCCCGGUCCCCGCUGUCCUUGUCCCUGUCACUCAGAGCUGGGACAUCCCUGUCCCCAAUGUCCCUUGGGCUUGGGACACCUCUGUCCCCGAUGUCCUUGUCCCCAGGAGCUGGGACAUCCCCGUCCCCAAUGUCCUUUGCAGCUGGGACACUCCUGUCCCCAAUGUCCUUGUCCCCAGGAGCUGGGACAUCCCCGUCCCCCACGUCCUCGUCCCCAGGGUCACCGCGUCCCAGGGCAGGGACGUCCCCGCGCCCCGCGUCCCCGACGUCCUCGUCCCCGGAGCUGGGGACGUCCUCGUCCCCCGGGGCCGCGGUGACAGUGAUGGUGAUGCCGCUGGCCCAGGCGGGGACGUCCCCGGGGACACCGGGGGAGGUGCCACCCGCCUCGGGGACGUCCCCGGGGGGGUGACGCGGGGGGACAGCGCCCGAGCACCCCUCGGCCAUGGGCGGGGACCUGGGGGGACAGAGGGGACGGGGACGUCACUGGGGGGGGGAAGCCACCGAGGAGGGGGGACGUGGGGAUGGAGGGGACAUGGGGACCUCGGGAGAGACCAGGGGACAUGGAGGGGGACACGGGGGACCCCAAGAGGGACGGGGGGGCCAUGGGGACCCUGGGGGGACGUGGCAGACCCCAGGAGGGACCAGGGGACACCUUGGGGACACAGAGGACCCCAGGAGGGACUGGGGGACACCAGGAGAAACAUGGGGACACUUUGGGGACACAGGGGACCCCAAGAGGGACCAGGGGACAUGGGGGGGACAUGGGGACACCUUGGGGACACAGAGGACCCCAGGAGGAACUGGGGGACACCAGGAGGAACAUGGGGACACCUUGGGGACACAGGUGACCCCAAGAGGGACCAGGGGACACGGGGCACCCCAGGAGGGACCAGGGGACACGGGGGGGGCCAUGGGGACCCUGGGGGGACAUGGGGGACCCCAGAAGGGACCAGGGGACAUGGGGAGGACACAGCAGACCCCAGGAAGGACAGGGGACCCCAGGGGGACACAGGGGACACUGGUGGGACACAGGGGACCCCAGGGAGGACACAGGGGACCCCAGGGGAGACCAGGGGACCCCAGGAGGGACUGGGGGACAUGGAGGGGCCAUGGGGACCCUGGGGGGACACGAGGGACCCCAGGAGGGACCAGGGGGACAUGGGGACACUUUGGGGACACGGGGGACCCCAGGAGGGAGCAGGAGAUGGGGGGGACAUGGGGGACACCAGAAGAAACAUGGGGACAUUUGGGGACACACAGGACAUGGGGGGGGACACGGAGGGGUCGCAGGUACCUGGGUGACACUGGCGGUGGCUCCUCAGCUCCCGUUUCGGGGUCUAAACGCCGGAUUUGGGGUCCCGGCGCCGCUUUGGGGCCCCGUCACCGCGUCACAUGUCCCYUCGGGGGGG
This is a long non-coding RNA of Dromaius novaehollandiae (emu), 3314 nucleotides long. The record is from Ensembl. Lineage: Eukaryota; Metazoa; Chordata; Aves; Casuariiformes; Dromaiidae.